UGCCGGAGUGGCGAAAUCGGCAGACGCACAGGACUUAAAAUCCUGCGGAGCUAACACUCCGUACCGGUUCAAGUCCGGUCUCCGGCACCAA
This 91-nucleotide transfer RNA is filed under the name Clostridium botulinum D str. 1873. RNAcentral's name for it is "tRNA-Leu". It matches the Rfam family "tRNA". Rfam says of the family: Transfer RNA (tRNA) molecules are approximately 80 nucleotides in length. The record is from RNAcentral. Lineage: Bacteria; Bacillati; Bacillota; Clostridia; Eubacteriales; Clostridiaceae.